AAUCUUCCACAAUGGACGGAAGUCUGAUGGAGCAACGCCGCGUGAGCGAAGAAGGGUUUCGGAUCGUAAAGCUCUGUUGUAAGGGGAGAACACGUACGGGAGUCAGUGCUCGUACCGGGACGGUACCUUAUCAGAAAGCCCCGGGUAACAACGUGCCGGCAGCCGCGGUAAUACGUAGGUGGCAAGCGUUGUCCUGACUUAUUGGGCGUAAAGCGCGCGCAGGCGGUCCUUUAAGUCUGAUGUGAAAGCCCACGGCUCAACCGUGGAGGGUCAUUGGAAACUGGAGGACUUGAGUACAGAAGAGGAAAGCGGAAUUCCACGUGUAGCGGUGAAAUGCGUAGAGAUGUGGAGGAACACCAGUGGCGAAGGCGGCUUUCUGGUCUGUAACUGACGCUGAGGCGCGAAAGCGUGGGGAGCAAACA
This 422-nucleotide ribosomal RNA is filed under the name uncultured bacterium. RNAcentral's name for it is "partial 16S ribosomal RNA". It matches the Rfam family "Bacterial small subunit ribosomal RNA", at positions 360 to 774 of the family's 1533-position model. The record is from RNAcentral.